GACGAACGCUGGCGGCGCGCUUAAUACAUGCAAGUCGAGCGAGAACCAGCCCUUCGGGGCUGGGGAAAGCGGCGAACGGGUGAGUAACACGUGGGUAAUCCACCCUCGGCACCGGGAUAGCCCGGGGAAACCCGGAUUAAUACCGGAUGGCCCGUCUGCUCUUUGGGGCGGACGGAAAAGGUAGCUUCGGCCUCCGGCCGAGGACGAGCCCGCGGCGGAUUAGCUUGUUGGUGGGGGUAACGGCCCACCAAGGCGACGAUCCGAGCUGGUCUGAGAGGACGAUCAGCCACACUGGGACUGAGACACGGCCCAGACUCCUACGGGAGGCAGCAGUAGGGAAUCUUGGUCAAUGGGCGAAAAGCCUGAACCAGCCAUGCCGCGUGCAGGAAGACGGCCCUACGGGUUGUAAACUGCUUUUGUACCGGAAUAAACCUUUCACGUGUGAGAAGCUGAAUGUACGGUAAGAAU
RNAcentral lists this ribosomal RNA (468 nucleotides) under uncultured bacterium. Its description in RNAcentral is "bacterial SSU rRNA". It matches the Rfam family "Bacterial small subunit ribosomal RNA", at positions 28 to 487 of the family's 1533-position model. The record is from RNAcentral.